GUUCUCUGCAACUCGAGAGCAUGAAGGCGGAAUAGCUAGUAAUCGUGGAUCAGCAUGCCACGGUGAAUACGUUCCCAGGCCUUGUACACACCGCCCGUCACAUCAUGGGAGUUGGGUUCACCCGAAGGCAGUGCGCUAACCGCAAGGAGGCAGCUGACCACGGUGGGCUUAGCGACUGGGAUGAAGUCGUAACAAGGUAGCCGUAGGGGAACCUGCGGCUGGAUCACCUCCUUUCUAAGG
This 240-nucleotide ribosomal RNA is filed under the name Staphylococcus hominis. RNAcentral's name for it is "partial 16S ribosomal RNA". It matches the Rfam family "Bacterial small subunit ribosomal RNA", at positions 1300 to 1533 of the family's 1533-position model. Lineage: Bacteria; Bacillati; Bacillota; Bacilli; Caryophanales; Staphylococcaceae. The record is from RNAcentral.